AUAGUACUCCCUCCGUCCCAAAAUAAGUGACUUAGAUUUGUAUAGAUUCUUAUACAAAUCCACGUCACUUAUUUUGGGACGGAGGGAGUAAUAU
Non-coding RNA from Brachypodium distachyon (stiff brome), 94 nucleotides. NCBI's taxonomy places the organism in Eukaryota, Viridiplantae, Streptophyta, Magnoliopsida, Poales, Poaceae. The record is from Rfam.